CCUACGGGAGGCAGCAGUGGGGAAUAUUGGGCAAUGGGCGCAAGCCUGACCCAGCAACGCCGCAUGAAGGAAGAAGGCUUUCGGGUUGUAAACUUCUUUUAUCAGGGACGAAGCAAGUGACGGUACCUGAUGAAUAAGCCACGGCUAACUGCGUGCCAGCAGCCGCGGUAAUACGUAGGUGGCAAGCGUUAUCCGGAUUUACUGGGUGUAAAGGGCGUGUAGGCGGGAGUGCAAGUCAGAUGUGAAAACUACGGGCUUAACUUGUAGACUGCAGUUGAAACUGGUUUUCUUGAGUGAAGUAGAGG
Molecule: ribosomal RNA, 305 nt
Filed under: uncultured bacterium
Lineage: Bacteria
Description: bacterial SSU rRNA
Rfam family: Bacterial small subunit ribosomal RNA
Source: RNAcentral